RNAcentral lists this unclassified non-coding RNA (552 nucleotides) under Hevea brasiliensis (rubber tree). The record is from RNAcentral. Lineage: Eukaryota; Viridiplantae; Streptophyta; Magnoliopsida; Malpighiales; Euphorbiaceae.
AGAGAGAGCACCAGAAUACAUGUAAACAUGCAAAACUUUUUCCCCUUGUCUGGUUGCUAGAGCACAUUGUCAUUGCUUUGCUAACUCAAUUCAUGAUUUAUGCUAUUUUUAAAAAUAUCUAGGAUUUCUGUAGCAUAUGAGACACAAAUAUACUCGCUUACCAUGAAUUAUCUUGACACUUUUUUGCUCCCACAAUUUGAACCCCAAAGAUGAAUUAUUCUUUUAUCUUUCAAGUGAAGGUGAGUCCAAUCCUAAGUAAGAUGUCAAAAGGCAUAUAUUUUGGUGUUGAAAUGAGAUAUGAAGAUCCUGCAGAGCAAUGCUGAUUAAGUGGAUGGAUAUGAUCUUGGUGCUUGAUGUGCAUUUAGGCUACUUGGGUGUGUGGAAUCAUGCUCCAAGAUUUGUGUAACUGCUUUGCACUAGGUAGUGAGUAAAUUCAUAAUUACUUAGCUAUAGUUUUUCCCUGAGAUGGAGGGAGUGGGUAUAGAUGGAUUAUUUUAGUUGAAAUUCCUGCACUUAGGUCUAACCCAAAGAAGAGGCUGUAAAUGGAUUAUU